Neoarius graeffei (lesser salmon catfish) is the source of this 1691-nucleotide long non-coding RNA. RefSeq lists it as uncharacterized. The record is from RefSeq and is a predicted model, not a curated record. Lineage: Eukaryota; Metazoa; Chordata; Actinopteri; Siluriformes; Ariidae. The transcript is spliced from 3 exons.
GUUGUAUGUGCAAGGGAAAGUGGUGUGUGUGUGAGCUAAUAUUUAAAUGAGGACCGAGCAGAGUCUUGGCUCUAGAGGGAGAGCACGUUUUUGAAAAUGGCUGGUACCACUCGAGAUGAAGCUCUUAAUCAGGCAAUAAGCUUAAUAAACAGUAUAAUGGCUUCUCCACCAGUGCUAUCAACUCUUGUAAAUUCGCCGACACCAGCACCAGCUGUCUUUACCGGUAACGUUACUACGGAGCAAGAAGUUAAUUCGUUGUUUAGGAGAGGGACCAGCUAUAACCCUGCUGCUAGUGUGGCUAACGUGGCUAGCAUGAACCUUAACGUUGCACGGGAGACACCUCCAAAUAUGCGCUACGAAACGAGAAGGACAUUUGGGAACUGGGCCACGUCAACCAAGAAGAAAAGGUAUUUUUUUUUAUUUCUUUGAUAUCUUGUUUAUACGUAUGUGUGUUGCCGUAGCGAGCUGCUCGCUAGUUGUGUCUCGCUAGUUUCACCAGUUUCACUGCAUGUCCAACUCUACCCAGUAGCCUACUGUAUGUCUAUGCAGGUGACAAUAAACCAUCCUUGUUUAUGUCAUGUCAAUUUUCCAUGCAUCAAGCACUUGCAUGUUGAACAAGCCUUGGCAUAGUUUUUCAGCGUGGACCAGACAUAAACAACGCUAUUUCUCAUGGUUCAGACAGUAAAGGCUUAGUUUAGUGUUUUGAAUGAAUUAUUUCGCACGUAAAAUCGAACGCGUGUGGCUGUAGUAGAACAUUUCUAUGUGUGUGGCGAGUCACUGUUUAAUUUGCCUCGAAUAAGAAUGAGACGUUUAAAUAAAAUGUGUGAUACAUAGACUGUAUAUUAUUCUCAAUAUGUAAAUUGAAAGGUACGAUUUUUUUGUAAACUGUGGUGGUAUGAUUACAGGGCCCGUGGACAGUACCACCAGACAUUUAACAAGGAUGUGAUUUUACUCACAAAUCCCACAUGGACCAAAGUCUGCACACACCAGACUAAAGAGCAACUGUAUCAGGCUGGGAAUAUCCUCAGCGCUUUUGAGUUUGACAAGUCAUGGACCUACCACACCAUAAUCAGCCAAAUCAAGGAUGGGUUUGGAGAUAAAAUUCCCCCUGACAUAAGGUAUGGCCUCUUGCACAUUUUUCUGUGUAUCAGUAUGCAAUGUUGAUAGUAUUAUUGUUUACCUCAUUAUUUCUUUCUUUUCAGCCUUUCAUGUCUAAUGGGUUGUGGUAAAAAAACUUGUCUCUCCUGUACUCCGUGAUGUCCAAGAGCUGAAUGGAUCGCUGUUGCACAAGAUUUUUCGUUUGAAAGCACUCUACGUGAGACCCUCCAAACCCCUUGCAAAUGACUGUUUGGCCCACUCUGAUAGCGAAGGUGAAAGGGCAGACCACUGCACAGGUGCCAUAGUGAGCCAAGGAAUAACCGUGGCAUUGAAUGAUGAGUCCAGUGACAGUUGUGUAGAGGUCCAUACACCAAGCUCAAAGCCACCAAAGAGGCGUGGAAGGCAGGAAUCACCUCCAAAUGAUGGACCAUCAACCUCCAGCAGCAACUAUACACCAAGUGGAAGCCAUCCACAGGCAGCGAGUACAUCUGCAGGCAGCGAGUACUCGGCGUACGUUUCCAUAAUGUCCUCACUGCCAGAUAUGUCUUCCUCUGAUGAGGAGCUCAAUUGUGCAAUCCUGGCCAGUAUUGACA